RNAcentral lists this unclassified non-coding RNA (330 nucleotides) under soil metagenome. RNAcentral's name for it is "partial contains 5.8S ribosomal RNA, internal transcribed spacer 2, and large subunit ribosomal RNA". The stretch from base 1 to 119 matches the Rfam family "5.8S ribosomal RNA", at positions 36 to 154 of the family's 154-position model. The record is from RNAcentral.
AUGAAGAACGCAGCGAAAUGCGAUAAGUAGUGUGAAUUGCAGAAUUCAGUGAAUCAUCGAAUCUUUGAACGCACAUUGCGCCCGCUAGUAUUCUGGCGGGCAUGCCUGUUCGAGCGUCAUUUCAACCAUCAAGCCCCAGGCUUGUGUUGGGGGCCUGCGGCUGCCGCAGCCCCUGAAAAGCAGUGGCGGGCUCGCUGUCAUUCCGAGCGCAGUAGUUACAUCUCGCUCCGGGCGUGGCGGUGGGCACCUGCCGUGAAACACUCCUUCUAAGGUUGACCUCGGAUCAGGUAGGAAUACCCGCUGAACUUAAGCAUAUCAAUAAGCGGAGGA